GGAGAGAUGUCUGAGUGGACUAAAGCGAUAGAUUGCUAAUGUGUUGUACAUUUUUUUAUACCGAGGGUUCAAAUCCCUCUCUUUCCG
This 87-nucleotide transfer RNA is filed under the name Hordeum vulgare. Its description in RNAcentral is "tRNA-Ser". It matches the Rfam family "tRNA". Rfam says of the family: Transfer RNA (tRNA) molecules are approximately 80 nucleotides in length. Lineage: Eukaryota; Viridiplantae; Streptophyta; Magnoliopsida; Poales; Poaceae. RNAcentral also lists the same sequence under 1 other name. The record is from RNAcentral.